CUGGAUCUGCUUUCCCCAUGGCUGGAGCCUUACAAACCACCUUCUCCUGUGCAGAACAGAGCCUGCCGUCUCACCUGGUCCCAGGGCUUCAGUGACAGCACGUUGCUGAUGCUGAAAGUGAUGGCUUAACAGAGACACAAGGAGCUGGAGCUGUCAAGGAAAGACCUGAAAUGGAGUUGGGAGGUAAAGAAAGAACAGGAAAAGGCAGGGCAAACAGGGAGUGGGCAGAACCGGAAAUGUUAUCUACCAUUCAAAGAUGGGACAGGAAGAAGUCGGGUCAGAGGAAGGAAUCAGAAUGGAAGUUUGUAGUUAGGAGGCUUUAAAGUUGGGUAAAGAAGGACAGAAGAUAGGGUGAAGGAGCAGUCUGAGUUCUCACAGCUACAAGGGUGCUGCUGACUUUGAAGCCGCUGUUUAGGGCUGACCCAGCUCCCCUAAGCUUUGCAGUUAUCUCAGGAGCAGCUUCUCCAGCCCUGCAUCCAUUUCGCAGGUUUAAAGGCUUCAGUCCUCCUGAUGUUCCCUCCAAAGGAUGACGCAUUCCCACGUUGUUUCCUUUUGUUGUCGUGUUCCUUUCUUGAUGCUAAUUAUUUGACCGUCAUUUUGCAGGAACUGAAGUGGAGGCGUGUCAUCGGACUUAGAAGGGUACCAGGAUCUAAAGUGUAGGGGUUGUGCUCAAAACAUGCACAGCACAGAGAUCACCGAUGAUGAUGCUCUCAGUGUCUGCCCUUGGGCUCCCAGAGCUGGUAUUUUGAUCUCUGGGCUUUACAGCUUAAAAUGCAAGAGUGGUACUACCUGGAGUGGGGUGUACUGAGAAGGGGAGUCUCUCAAACUCAGUUAUGAAUACAACAGAAAGCCCAGAGAGAAUAAUGACGUGAAAAAACGUACGGCAGAGAAGAAGCCAAGGAUGUAAACAUGGAGGAGUGAGUAGUGGCAUGAUGGAUGCACAUCAUCCUGUACACCAGAGGGGCAAAGUGCCUGCUGGAGAAGCAGUGCGCUCACAUGUAGCAAUAAUGUGAAUCCAGGCAUCUGCCAGGUUGGUGACUGAAGGAAGAGGCCAGCAUUUCCCAACUUCUGAGCUGGCUGCGCAUCCUUGAUGGUUGCAGCCAUUUGUUCUCUUCUUCUGUGAUAAUUGUAUGUCAUUUCUUUACAUGGUUCGCUGCACAAAAUGACUUCAUGUACUCGCCUGAGCUGUGCUUUGUUGUAUUUUGUUUAAAUAUGCAAAAUUGUAUGCAAC
Molecule: long non-coding RNA, 1231 nt
Filed under: Gallus gallus (chicken)
Lineage: Eukaryota; Metazoa; Chordata; Aves; Galliformes; Phasianidae
Description: lncRNA (ENSGALG00000038075.4)
Source: RNAcentral